Molecule: ribosomal RNA, 2183 nt
Filed under: Triticum aestivum (bread wheat)
Lineage: Eukaryota; Viridiplantae; Streptophyta; Magnoliopsida; Poales; Poaceae
Description: partial small subunit ribosomal RNA
Source: RNAcentral
CGCUGGCACCUGUGUUCAUUUCGCAGGUCAGGGGGGUUGUGUCUCCUAGGGCUCGUGUUGACAGAAGAAGGUGUAGUGAUCCAGGUGGACCCGCUGAUCUUUGUCGUCUCGUAUCGAUCGUCUGUGCGUGUUCUCUGUCGGUACACCCCGGGCUCUAUGUCUGACACGCACGUAGGAAGGAAGUAGGAGGAGGUGGUGGUGAGGAGGGGAGGGGACAAAGGCGAGGCGGGGGCCAUUUGGGGGUAGGGCAGGGCUAGGGGUGUGGUGGGGAGGGGCCUCCUUAGAAACGAGGGAGGGUGAAUAUAUUUGGGGAGAGGCGGUGAGGUGAGAGGGUCUAGAUGUAGGAGGGAGGUGGGGCAGAGCGGCCGGCGGGCCGGCGGGGGGUUAGCACGCAGCCUGCUCCGGUGCCGCUACCUAGAGGAGCGCCGGCGGGCCGGGGUCACCGAGGAGCGGCCGCGUCGCGACGACGAGCGGUGGCAGCGGAAGGAGUCCCAGGAGGAGCCGGGGCCGCCGCCGCCGUCCGCCCGCGGCGGCUACUAGGGCCCCCGCGGGCAGCACCCGCCCGACGACGCGAAGGACGCCCCGGGGUAGGGCGAGUAGGCCCGGCUCAUGCGGGCGGAGCCGGGGCAGAAGUGGCAGGGGUAGGAGUGGGCGGCCUAGUGGAAGGAGUAGCCGGGGCUGCAGAGCCGCGUGAAGAAGUUCUCGUUGCUCAGGCUGUACUCGGUCGUCCUCCAGAUGGCGAAGUUGCAGGGGUGGAAGCCGGGGCCCCAGCAGAAGCUGCAGCUGAUGGUCCAGUCCGUCCUCGUCAAGUCCAAGAAGUGGCUCCGCGAGUCCCGGUUGUUCGAGGCGUCGAUGCAGCUGGUCUACCAACGGCUCCGGCUCCUCAUGAAGAGUUUCACCCCUCUUUCGCCGUGACACCUAGACUUCAUACUUAACCUCGUGGAGUAGUAUGACUGACGAUCGGCUACGAACAACCCUUCCCUUCACGCUCUUUUCAACAAACUACUACAAAGACGAGAGAAGGUACUAGAACUGUUACCCUACGUCGGUUAGUCACAGUAGAAAGGGAUGGAGGGUUAGGGACGUGUGGCAGCGGCACUGGUCCGUGCCUGUGCAAACCGCCUCUAGAAGCGGUGGUAGUAGUUCAGGGCGUUCCGGAGACCUGUCAGGCUCCUUCUGUACGACGUCACGAAGUAACUAAGGUUCAUGUUCUUACCGGCGGUCUGGUGUCUUUCACUCCACUGACCCGAUGAAUAGCGUCGGGACAAACGACCUGUCGUGUGAUCGAGCUAGUGGAGUUGGACCUGACCCCGGAUGGACGAGUUCAAGGUCGUCAUGAAACGUCUCCGACAUCUCCUCGUCUUCCUCCAGUACUUCUCCGUACCACUGUUCUAGCUAGUACUGUAGAACCGUCUCUACCUACAGGAGAUGGCCACGUAGUUCCUCCGCGAGGCCGAGGUGGGCGGCGACUAGUACGACGAAGCGGUUAGUGUGAGACUGAAGUCGCACUGGUGCUCCCUUCCGUUUCUCAAACUAUAGGGGUUCCCGGUGUAACAGCGUUGUAGAGGACGAAAGCGAUUGUCCGAGGGGGUAUAGAAGUUCUUGGGCCUGAGCAUACUGGGACUGGCCAAACGCCGACCCUCCCUCCUCCUGUUCCAACGCCCACGGAAGAGCAUGUAGAGGAAACCCCCACCGUCCGUGCCCACGGAGCCACUCGGGAAGCGCAUGGACGUCUAGUUCCGCUAUACCUGUGUGGAGGACUCCUUGAAACUCAAACUCGACCAGAGUGGCAAGGGACUCUUGCUGACCUUACGCUACCAGCAGCCGUAGUUCCCGCUCCAUUACCAGUUGAUGUUCGCCGCCUUCGAGCAGCAGCUGUUGAUCUCUCGCCCACCAGGGUAUCCCCUGCACCCCACAAACGAAGACAUAAAGAAGGUAAAUGCAAAACAACAGGCGUGCGGUUGGACAUCCCAUAUAGAUAGAAGUGGUAACAAAUCCCAUGACACUAAACGAAGGUCACUAAAUCGGCACAUCGUAGUCUUACAACAAAGAGAAAGGAAAGUAGAAACGACAACAGGUGAGAGAAUCUGCCCAAGUCUGUAUUUUACACUUGUCUGUUGUGAUACAUUCCUUGUGUUGUUGACACUGUCAAGUAAGUUUUACGUGAAGAACGAAAACGAGUG